Molecule: long non-coding RNA, 1145 nt
Filed under: Apis mellifera (honey bee)
Lineage: Eukaryota; Metazoa; Arthropoda; Insecta; Hymenoptera; Apidae
Description: uncharacterized LOC113219364, transcript variant X2
Source: RNAcentral
UCUUUAUUUGUUUAAUUUGAAAAUGUGAAAGUGUGGAAAUGGACAAUGCAUAAAUAUUCGACAAUUAUAAUGGAAAUUAUAAUGGUCUAAUCUCGUGGUUUAUGUUCUAAAAACUAUAAAUACUGUGAUGGAAUAUUUAAAGAACUUGGUGAAAAAAGAAAAUUCAUGAACCGAAGCACAUGUAAGCUUAUUACGGGCACAAUAGUUCAAUUUUUUUCUAUAGAAGUUAAAUUUGAGAUAAAGGUAAUAUCGUGUGGAUUUGUUCAAUUGCCAUUAAUAAAUUUGUAAUAAUUUGUAAUGAAAUGACAAUACUCGUUUCAUUAAAAGAAUCCAACUGCAUUGUGUUUUCUUGUCAAAAUGGUGAAGGAAGUUUUGACUCUAAUCUUCUUAAAUGUAAAAAAUACAUCCAAUAUGCCUGUCACUGCACACUGUCAACGUACACAGGCAACCAUAAAAUGUUAUGCAGAUGCAUUAACUUUAAAGCUAUUCUAUUCUAUCAUCUUUAAAUGUAAUGAAAGAGAGCAAGAAAUUUAGUUACCAGAUAUAGGAAUUUUUGAUCCUUCGGUACAACGUGUAUCUAAAAAUAUAAUGGCAAUAAAAUAUUAAGCUUGGAUUAAACAUCUGUCAGAAGAAUUUAAAGUUGUGAAUAUUAGUUUAGAUGGAAAUGAAUUAAGCGUAUCAAAAGAACAUUAACAUUAACGUAUUACGUAACAGGAUGAACAAGAUAAAAUAGAUUUCGAUAAUCUAACUACGGAUGAUGCAGAUACACAUUUCGAGAUGGUACUUUAACAAUUGAAAGUUUAGAUGGAAAUAAAUUAUAUUUAGAUUCAACGACUCAAUUUAGAAUGUAUACAAUUGUAUCACAUAGUGUCGUUGAAAAUUUUGAAUCGGAUGUGAUCGUUCCUUAUUAGAGGAGAAUAUGAUAUCUAUCUAAUAUAUUUUUAUAUGUUUAAUAUAUAUUCAAUGAUAGGCAAUGACAGAGUGAAAUUAGAUAGAAGUUUGAAAAUGAUAUGAUAAGCAAUACGUAAUUGAACAAAUGAGUGAUAAAAAAAAUUUGAAGAUAAAUUUAUAAGCGAAAAUAUAUAUAAAUCUGAUGAUAUCUUCGUUAACAAUAUUCCUGUGUAUUUAGAAACAUUGAAAAAAAA